This 307-nucleotide ribosomal RNA is filed under the name Ischnochiton australis. RNAcentral describes it as "eukaryotic LSU rRNA". It matches the Rfam family "Eukaryotic large subunit ribosomal RNA", at positions 666 to 946 of the family's 3401-position model. Lineage: Eukaryota; Metazoa; Mollusca; Polyplacophora; Chitonida; Ischnochitonidae. The record is from RNAcentral.
CCAAGGAGUCUAGCAUGUGCGCGAGUCAUUGGGUUUCGCUAAACCUAAAGGCGAAAUGAAAGUGAAGGCAGCCUCGGGUUUGCCCAGGUAGGAUCCCGGUCCUCCAGACCUGGCGCACUACCGGCCCGUCGCUUCCGCAUCGCGGUGCGGCGGAGCCAGAGCGUACACGCUGGGACCCGAAAGAUGGUGAACUAUGCCUGAGUAGGACGAAGCCAGAGGAAACUCUGGUGGAAGUCCGCAGCGGUUCUGACGUGCAAAUCGAUCGUCGAACUUGGGUAUAGGGGCGAAAGACUAAUCGAACCAUCUA